CCUACGGGUGACAGCAGUGGGGAAUCUUUCACAAUGGGCGAAAGCCUGAUGCAGCAACGCCGCGUGCAGGAUGAAGGCCUUCGGGUUGUAAACUGCUUUUAUAAGCGAGAAAUAUGAUGGUAGCUUCUGACUCAGGAUCGGCUAACUACGUGCCAGCCGCCGCGGUCAUACGUAGGAUCCGAGCAUUAUCCGGAGUGACUGGGGGUAAAGAGUUGCGUAGGUGGCAUAAUAAGUAGCUAGUGAAAUCUGGUGGCUCAACCAUUCAGACUAUUAGCUAAACUGUUAAGCUCGAGAGCGUUAGGGGUAAGUGGAAUUUCUAGUGUAGGAGUGAAAUCCGUAGAUAUUAGACGGAACACCAAUAGCGUAGGCAGGGUGCUGGGACGGAUCUGACACUAAGGCACGAAAGCGUAGGGAGCAAACGGGAUUAGAUACCCGAGUAGUC
This 442-nucleotide ribosomal RNA is filed under the name uncultured bacterium. RNAcentral describes it as "partial 16S ribosomal RNA". It matches the Rfam family "Bacterial small subunit ribosomal RNA", at positions 338 to 795 of the family's 1533-position model. The record is from RNAcentral.